RNAcentral lists this ribosomal RNA (1522 nucleotides) under uncultured bacterium. RNAcentral describes it as "bacterial SSU rRNA". It matches the Rfam family "Bacterial small subunit ribosomal RNA". The record is from RNAcentral.
GAUGAACGCUGGCGGCGUGCCUAAUACAUGCAAGUCGAGCGGUGAAUGGAUUAAGAGCUUGCUCUUAUGAAGUUAGCGGCGGACGGGUGAGUAACACGUGGGUAACCUGCCCAUAAGACUGGGAUAACUCCGGGAUCAAACCGGGGCUAAUACCGGAUAACAUUUUGAACUGCAUGGUUCGAAAUUGAAAGGCGGCUUCGGCUGUCACUUAUGGAUGGACCCGCGUCGGCGCAUUAGCUAGUUGGUGAGGUAACGGCUCACCAAGGCAACGAUGCGUAGCCGACCUGAGAGGGUGAUCGGCCACACUGGGACUGAGACACGGUCCCCCAGACUCCUACGGGAGGCAGCAGUAGGGAAUCUUCCGCAAUGGACGAAAGUCUGACGGAGCAACGCCGCGUGAGUGAUGAAGGCUUUCGCAUGGUCGUAAAACUCUGUUGUUAGGGAAGAACAAGUGCUAGUUGAAUAAGCUGGCACCUUGACGGUACCUAACCAGAAAGCCACGGCUAACUACAACGUGCCAGCAGCCGCGGUAAUACGUAGGUGGCAAGCGUUAUCCGGAAUUAUUGGGCGUAAAGCGCGCGCAGGUGGUUUCUUAAGUCUGAUGCUUUGAAAGCCCACGGCUCAACCGUGGAGGGUCAUUGGAAACUGGGAGACUUGAGUGCAGAAGAGGAAAGUGGAAUUCCAUGUGUAGCGGUGAACGGAUGCGUAGAGAUAUGGAGGAACACCAGUGGCGAAGGCGACUUUCUGGUCUGUAACUGACACUGAGGCGCGAAAGCGUGGGGAGCAAACAGGUGGAUUAGAUACCCUGGUAGUCCACGCCGUAAACGAUGAGUGCUAAGUGUUAGAGGGUUUCCGCCCUUUAGUGCUGAAGUUAACGCAUUAAGCACUCCUCCGCCUGGGGAGUACGGCCGCAAGGCUGAAACUCAAAGGAAUUGACGGGGGCCCGCACAAGCGGUGGAGCAUGUGGUUUAAUUCGAAGCUACAACGCGAAGAACCUUACCAGGUCUUGACAUCCUCUGACAACCCUAGAGAUAGGGCUUCUCCUUCGGGAGCAGAGUGACAGGUGGUGCAUGGUUCUUGUCGUCAGCUCGUGUCGUGAGAUGUUGGGUUAAGUCCCGCAACGAGCGCAACCCUUGAUCUUAGUUGCCAUCAUUAAGUUGGGCACUCUACUAAGGUGACUGCCGGUGACAAACCGGAGGAAGGUGGGGAUGACGUCAAAUCAUCAUGCCCCUUAUGACCUGGGCUACACACGUGCUACAAUGGCCGACGGUACAAAGAGCUGCAAGACCGCGAGGUGGAGCUAAUCUCAUAAAACCGUUCUCAGUUCGGAUUGUAGGCUGCAACUCGCCUACAUGAAUGAGCUGGAAUCGCUAGUAAUCGCGGAUCAGCAUGCCGCGGUGAAUACGUUCCCGGGCCUUGUACACACCGCCCGUCACACCACGAGAGUUUGCAUUAACACCCGAAGUCGGUGGGGUAACCUUUUUGGAGCCAGCCGCCUAAGGUGGGACAGAUGAUUGGGGUG